Molecule: long non-coding RNA, 3099 nt
Filed under: Olea europaea subsp. europaea
Lineage: Eukaryota; Viridiplantae; Streptophyta; Magnoliopsida; Lamiales; Oleaceae
Source: RNAcentral
UUUAAUUUUAUGAAUCUCGAUAUUAGAAAUUAAGGUGACCAAUAGGUGAAGUUGUUCCGCCCUAAUCUCCAUUUAUUAUUUGAAUUCUCACUAAUUUUUUGUUGCAUUCUCGAUAUUUUUAGUAGUUAGAUUUAAAUAUUUAUUUAUAUUCAUCAAAUAGGAGUUAGGAAUAAUAAAUUGAAUACUAAAGUAUAGUCCUCGUGGGAACGAUAAUCCGGACUCAAAAGAUCCAUUUUACUACUUGUUACGAUCCGUCCACUUGCGGGAUAAAAUCGACAACAAGUUUUAGCGUCGUUGCCGGGGACUAUUAUUUUUAGUUUUAAUUUUUUUUAUUUUUCUAUCUAAUUUUUAAAUAUUAUUUGAUUUGCUUGUUUUCUUUUAUUUACAGAAAAUUGUGUUCGUUGUAUGCUCCGUGCCCAAGGCGACAAUCUUGAACCGUUUGAUUCGAAAAUAGAACGUACCUUUAGACAAAGACGUAGGGGAUACAAACAAAAACAGCAACAUCAAAUGGCUGAUAAUCUAAACAAUCCUAACCCUAUACAGCCAAUUGGACAAAUGGCCGUGAGAGCUCAACAGCAAGAGCAAAGGGAAGUAAAUGAAGGGGACUUGCCAAUUUCUAUGUUUUUGACGCCUAUAGGAGCACCCGCGCGGUCCAGCAUAUUAUAUCUAGAUUUUGGAGUAAACAACUUUCAAAUACGGGCUGAUUGGAUUAAUUUGAUGAACAACACUCUACAAUUCUAUGGGUUACCUCAUGAGAAUCCAAACACACAUAUCUUAAGGUUUCUCAGGAAUUGCCAGAAUUGUCAUGCUCCUGGGGUUAAUGAGGACGCCAUCAAGCUACGAUUAUUCCCAUAUACACUGAGAGAUGCAGCAUUAGAAUGGUUGGAUGCCGAACCGGAUGGAAUUAUUACCACAUGGGAGGAACUGACUAGGAAAUCCUGCAAUAAGUUCUUUCUACCAGCUAAAGUAGCAAAAAUUAGACUCGAAAUCCAAACUUUUCAACAGAAAGAUGAGGAGAGCUAUCACAAGGCAUGGAAUAGAUUUAAGGAGUUGAUGAGGAAGUGUCCAAAUCAUGGGAUCACUAUUGGAAAUCAAGUGCAUUAUUUCUACACGGGACUUUCACCACUAUCCAAAUCUCAAGUGGAUUCCUCUGUAGGUGGAUCGAUCAUAGGAAAAUCAGUGCAGCAAUGUACGGAUCUAGUUGAGUUGAUUGCCACUACUCAUUCCAUAUUUUCAUCAGAAAGAGUGGUGCCUCCAAAAACAGCUGGAAUAUAUGAAUUAGACAGCACAACAUCUACCAACGCCCAAAUAGCAGCAUUAACAAAAUAAGUAGAGUUAUUGGUGAAGUCACAAACAAAAGGAGUGUAACUGGCCCAUCUUACGAAAACUGCGGGGCAAAUCACCUAACAGAAAAUUGCACAUCUAUGGGCUUUCCGGAGGAACAAGUCAACUUCAUUCAAAAUGACUCUCGAAAUUUUAAUCCCUUUUCACAAACAUAUAACCUAGGAUGGAGACAACACCCAAAUUUCAGAUGGUCGGAUAAUCAGCAAGGGAACGAUUCAAACAAUGCACAACAGGAGAAAACGCCAAGUUUGGGAGAGAUGUUCAACCAGUACAUAUAGAAGACAGACAAGGUGUUCCAGCAGAUUGAUACUAACUUUCAGAAUCAGCAAGCAUCCAUUAAGAAGCUGGAAACUCAAAUUGUUCAGAUUGCUCAACAGCUUAUCGAACGCCCACAAGGGACAUUGACAGGUAACACAAUGGUUAAUCCAAAAGAGCAAGUGCAAGCUAUUACAACUAGAAGUGGAGUGCAACUUCCGGAGACAUAUGUGAAGAGACCAGACAGAAAGGACAAAGAAGUAAUGGUUGAAGAGGCUGGGAUAGAAGCAAAGUCUGAACAACCAACUAACGAGGAGGAUAAAAGGAAAUAAACACCCACAAUGAGAGCACCCAGCCCGGUGAAAGCUUAUGUGCCACCAAUUCCCUUCUCUCAGAGGCUACAAAGAAAGAAGUUGGACAAGCAGUUUGCCAAGUUUGUGGAGAUUUUCAAAAAACUGCACAUCAAUAUUCCAUUUACAGAUGCAAUUGCCCAAAUGCCCAGCUAUGCUAAAUUCUUGAAGAAGAUCCUAUCUAACAAAAGAAAGCUGGAAGAACAUGAGACAGUCUGCUGAUAAGUAUGUUUUUACACACUUAUUUGGUUCACAAACAUGACUUAAACAUGGAUAAAAUGGUUGAAAUGUGGCUUAAUCCUAUUAAAUUCAUGCAAUGUAGGUAUUUCAAUGGAAAUUGUGGAAUUCAGGAGAUAAGAGCCAAAGAAGGACCAAAACGCAACAAAGUGAUAGUUCGAGGACCAAAUGUGCAAAUACUGAGAAGUUGAGCUAAAUGCAAAACGAGAGUAAAAACAUGCCAAGUAUGAGCUCAAUGACAAAGCAAAACAAUUGGAAGAAGAAAGUAUUGAAGAGGGACUGAAAUGAAGACAAUUGAAAGUUGGAGGACUAAAGCGCAAAUACUCAAAAGAUGUGCCGAAUGAGUGGCAGGAGAUUUGAUGGUGUCAAUCAUCAAUUGGAAGAUAAAAUUUGUUGAAAAGAUGAAGAAAUCGAAGAAAGAAGUCAAGAGAAGCAACAAGGAAGUUCAGGGACCAAAAUGUAAAAAAUCACAUAGUUGGUUAUAUCUAUGCGACCGCAUAGUGUAACCAUCUAUGCGGUCGCAUAGAUGGAUGCAGGGAAAAUAAUGGGGCAUUUCAAAUGACCUAUGCGACCGCAUAGGAUCCUUCUAUGCGGUCGCAUAGAAGAAAAUAAUGGGGCGUUUCUGCAGUUUCCUUUUUCGACUCCAACUCUCUUUUUUUUUACCUAAUUUGGACACGCUAUAUAUACCCUAAAAUACGUCCAGAACUAGGGUAGACAAUUUUGGGAGAAAAGAGGCACACAAUAACAUCAAGAUCUAAGAAUUUAUGCAAGAAGAAGGAGGAUUUCAUCAAGAUUGAAGAUUUCAAGCAUCAAUUAUAAUAGGGUGAUGUCUUCUCCUUUAUUGAAUCUUUGUAAUUUUCUUCAAAACAUGAUAGGCUAAUUUUUUAUUUCAUUGGGAGUCGAUGAACCUUUG